GGCUGGUCCGAAGGUAGUGAGUUAUCUCAAUUGAUUGUUCACAGACAGUUACAGAUCGAACUCCUCGUUCUACUCUCCCCCCCUUCUCGAUACUGCCCUUUACUAUAAA
Molecule: Y RNA, 109 nt
Filed under: Capra hircus (goat)
Lineage: Eukaryota; Metazoa; Chordata; Mammalia; Artiodactyla; Bovidae
Description: Y RNA (ENSCHIG00000002952.1)
Rfam family: Y RNA
About the family: Y RNAs are components of the Ro ribonucleoprotein particle (Ro RNP), in association with Ro60 and La proteins.
Source: RNAcentral